GUCCAGGAGCAGGAGGGGAUAUCUUUUUCUUUCUAUCUGAUUAGAACAGAAAUGGCAACCAAAGCGAGUCCUCCAAAUCUCCACAAAUCCGUGGCCAUUUCCAAAGGAUACAACUUCGCUUCUACAUGGGAACAGAAUGCUCCUCUGUCGGACCAACAGCAUGCAGCAAUCGUCGCACUAUCUCACGCCGUUGCUGAGCAACCAUAUCCUACCAAUUUGGCCCAAGAUCAUAUAUCUAGGCAGGACAAUGGCGGCCUGGCUGUUUCCACUAAGGAUAGCGCUUUCGGAGAUUCUCAAGCCAUAGAAGCAGUUUUAGUUAAUACAAAUCAGUUCUACAAAUGGUUUACAGAUCUUGAAUCAGCCCUGAAAUCAGAGGCAGAAGAGAAGUAUCAGCACUAUGUCAAUACUUUGACAGAACGCAUACAGACAUGUGAUGAUAUACUUCAUGAAGUGGAUGAAACUCUGGAUUUGUUUAAUGAACUUCAGCUGCAACACCAAGCAGUAGCAACAAAGACUAAGACUCUUCAUGAUGCCUGUGAUCGACUGUUAGUAGAGAAGCAAAGACUGAUUGAGUUUGCAGAAGCUCUUCGCAGUAAGCUGCACUACUUUGAUGAAUUGGAGAAUGUAAGAUUGCUACAAAUUUUUAUUCUGCAAAAGUGAAUGUUGGAAGUGAGAACUUUCUUCCGCUGCUCAAACGGCUUGAUGAGUGCAUAUCAUAUGUUGAAAGCAAUCCACAAUAUGCAGAAUCUAGUAUUUAUUUGCUUAAAUUUCGGCAACUCCAGUCUCGAGCCCUUGGUAUGAUUCGUUCUCAUGUACUUUCUGUUCUGAAAGGUGCUUCUUCUCAGGUCCAGGCAGCAAUCCGGAGCACUGGUGGCAACAAGACAUCCGUUUCUGAGGGUGUAGAGGCAUCUGUUAUCUAUGUCCGAUUCAAGGCAGCUGCAAAUGAGCUCAAGCCCAUACUGGAGGAAAUCGAAAGCAGAUCAUCUAGAAAAGAAUAUGCUCAAGUCCUUGCGGAAUGCCACAAAUUGUAUUGUGAACAGCGGCUUUCUUUGGUAAAAGGCAUAGUACUUCAACGAGUAUCUGAAUUUGCCAAGAAAGAGGCCUUGCCAUCAUUGACUAGAUCUGGAUGUGCAUAUCUAAUGCAGGUUUGUCAACUUGAGCACCAACUCUUUGAUCACUUUUUCCCAUCUUCUUCAGAGGAUAUUUCUGGUUUGGCUCCAUUGCUUGAUCCUUUGUCUACUUUCUUGUAUGAUACACUGCGCCCAAAACUUAUUCAUGAAACAAAUAUUGAUCUUCUUUGUGAGCUUGUUGAUAUACUUAAAGUUGAAGUCUUGGGAGAACAGCUUAGCAGACGGAGUGAGUCAUUGGCUGGGCUACGUCCUACAUUGGAAAGAAUUUUGGCAGACAUUCAUGAACGGCUGACUUUCCGAGCUCGAACACAUAUUCGUGAUGAGGUGUGCUUUUUGCCCUGAAAAAGUGACUCUUAUUGAUUCUUUAAUAACUGUGUAUGCCUGCUGAGUGAGUAUGGAAAUUUCCUUUUUCUUUUUGGAAGUAAUUUCACAUGAUUACACAUGGAAAGUUAUUCUUCUACAUCUAAGCAAAAGAUAAUCCACUCAUAAUUUGACCAUGGCUAGAGUUGUCUACCAAAGUUUAUAAAUACAUUUUACUUACAACUACCUUGCUCUUUGGAAUUAGGAUGUCAUGUUCUUAUACAAUUUUCUUGGGAAUUGGAUUUGUCACUUCAAUAUUGAUAGGUGGAGUGUGUGAUUAAACUUUACUCUUCUGAAAUAUUUGCUCCUGACUUGAUACUAGAAUACUGAGAACACGUGAAUGAUAAAGUGGUAAGCAUCAAUUUUUUAGUGUACUUGUGAGAAUUGCAUAGUCAUACCCAAUUUCAAGUGAAUUGCAUUUUCCAUGAAGUAUCUCUAUUUUUAGUGAAAGUCAGAGAGGUUUAGACGGGCUGCCAUAGUUUGAGGCGGAAAUCAAUAAUCUCAAUUGAUCGAGUACCAAAGAAUUCAAUUAGAAGGAGACAUAUUUUAGUUGUUUCUCCUGAUUGAUCUCCUUUUUAUUUUUGAAAUUUUAUCUUGUUUUUCUUUUGCAGAUAGCUAAUUAUAUUCCUUCUAAUGAAGACCUGGAUUACCCUGCAAAGCUUGAUCAAUCUGUUGAGAAGAAACCAGAAACUACUUCUGUAAAGCAUCACUCACUGCUAUUGUAUUCUCUAACUCAGUUUAUCUAUGUGUGACAAGCAUGCUAAAAUGUCCACAAAACAUAUUUUAGAAGUAUGUCUCUACUCUGGCUAAUGGGUCUUCUCUGGGAUCUGUGAUAUGUCUCUACUCUGGCUAAUGGGUCUUCUCUGGGAUCUGUGAUCUUGUUGCUUCCUGGUUGCAUGUACUUGGCCCAACAUGGGCCUUUCUCUAGGUCGGAGGUUCUUCUAAUUCCCAAACAUAGGACAUCAGAACCUGACUGAACAAUCUAACCAUCCAUUUUUGGUCAUUUUAAUAUUUAAUACCUUCAGUUAAAUUGAAACAUGCUUUCAAUGUGAUGUGCCAAGAUGGAUACCUAUCUGAAAUAGUCAUGCAACCCUGCAACAAAAAGAUUUAAUCAGCAUGGUAGUUUUUUGUUGGCAUGUUAGUUUGAUUCACACCAGUAGGCAUGUCUAUUCAUAAACACUUCUGUCAGAUAUGAGGCAUAAUUUGCAGUAUCAAUGAAACAAAGAUGAAUUAUACCUAACUGGUGUUUAAUGGUUAUUCCCAGCUUGUGGCACUUGAUCAUUUUUUGUUUGCAUUGUAAGUGUGAAAAUUGUUUUCUUUUGUUUUCAUCAUUAUUAUUUGUCUUAGUUUUCUCUCAUUCUGCAGGUUGAAGAAACUGCCAAUGUAUUUAGAACUUGGUACCCACCCUUGGAGAAAACUCUAUCAUGCCUUUCGAAGUUGUACCGUUGUCUAGAACCAUCUGUUUUCACUGGUUUAGCACAGGUGUUUGGAUCCUUGGAUAAUCACUCUUUCUCAUUUUUGUUUUAUAAAUUUUUACCAAUUAUAUUGCUCUUUUAUGCUUAUAUUGCUCUUUUAUGCUUGUGUUAUCAACCAGUUGACUAAUUCUUUUCCUGUGUUUCUAUUUCUAUCAGGAAGCAGUAGAAGUUUGCUCCCUUUCUAUCCAAAAAGCAAGCAAACUCAUUGCAAAGAGAACAACGGCAAUGGAUGGGCAGCUCUUCCUUAUCAAACAUCUUCUAAUCUUAAGGGAGCAGAUUGCUCCAUUUGAUAUAGAAUUUUCAGUCACAUACAAGGAACUUGACUUCUCCCAUUUGUUGGAGCACUUAAGACGGAUACUUAGAGGUCAGGCUUCUCUGUUUGACUGGUCGAGAUCAACUUCACUAGCAAGGACUUUAUCUCCCCGAGUUCUAGAAAGUCAAGUAGAUGCCAAGAAGGAACUGGAGAAAAGCCUAAAAGCAACUUGUGAGGAGUUCAUCAUGUCGGUCACUAAGCUGGUUGUGGAUCCGAUGCUUUCAUUUGUUACCAAGGUUACUGCUGUAAAAGUUGCACUGUCUUCUGGUAAUCAGAAUCAGAAAGUAGACUCAAUUGUGGCCAAACCACUUAAGGAUCAAGCUUUUGCUACUCCAGAUAAGGUGGCCGAACUUGUUCAGAAGGUAAAUGCAGCUAUUCAGCAAGAAUUGCCCAUGGUGAUGGCAAAGAUGAAACUUUAUCUGCAGAACACAUCAACAAGAACAAUACUUUUUAAACCGAUAAAAACAAAUAUUGUGGAAGCACAUGUUCAGGUACAAUCCCUUGUAAAAGUCGAGUACUCUCCUGAAGAACAAAGCGUCAUUAAUAUGGUGUCCAUGCAAGAGCUGCAAGCACAACUUGACAAUCUCCUUUAGGAUGCCUACUCAAUUUUUUCUUAAAGAUCUUGAUCACAUGUAGAGCAGUUUUGGUUUGUCAGAAGGAAUUGAAAUCUUCAUACUGGUUCAUUAAAAGCUGCAGAGUUGAAAUUUAAAUAUGAUAUGCAUACAUUUGUACCUUUAAAUAAUGUUGAGGGAAUAUAAUGAACCAAUCAUUAGUCGAGGACUAAUAAGAAAAGAGCGAAUCGUAUUCAUUAUUUGAGAGUCGUAUCUUGUAACUCGAUUAUGAAUUUUAAAAUUUCAUGGUUCACAUCGCAUUCUUAAUCAUCAACAGUUCUCGAUUAUGCUUAAUGCCGGACUGAUG
RNAcentral lists this unclassified non-coding RNA (4196 nucleotides) under Hevea brasiliensis (rubber tree). The record is from RNAcentral. Lineage: Eukaryota; Viridiplantae; Streptophyta; Magnoliopsida; Malpighiales; Euphorbiaceae.